This 78-nucleotide microRNA precursor is filed under the name Dasypus novemcinctus (nine-banded armadillo). Its description in RNAcentral is "miRNA (ENSDNOG00000036925.1)". Lineage: Eukaryota; Metazoa; Chordata; Mammalia; Cingulata; Dasypodidae. The record is from RNAcentral.
GAGCUGGGCUGAGCUGGGCUGAGCUGGGCUGUGCUGGGCUGGACUGGGCUGAGCUGGGCUGUGCUGUGCUGGACUGGG